ACGUAGGUGGCAAGCGUUGUCCGGAAUUACUGGGUGUAAAGGGCGUGUAGGCGGGAUGUUAAGUCAGAUGUGAAAUUCCAAGGCUCAACCUUGGAGCUGCAUCUGAAACUGAUGUUCUUGAGUGAUGGAGAGGAAAGCGGUAUUCCUAGUGUAGCGGUGAAAUGCGUAGAUAUUAGGAGGAACACCAGUGGCGAAGGCGGCUUUCUGGACAUUAACUGACGCUGAGGCGCGAAAGCGUGGGGAGCAAACAG
This 251-nucleotide ribosomal RNA is filed under the name uncultured prokaryote. RNAcentral describes it as "partial 16S rRNA". It matches the Rfam family "Bacterial small subunit ribosomal RNA", at positions 525 to 775 of the family's 1533-position model. The record is from RNAcentral.